UUAGGAAUUUUGCGCAAUGGGCGAAAGCCUGACGCAGCAACGCCGCGUGAGGGAAGACGGCUUUCGGGUUGUAAACCUCUUUUAGCAAGGACGAACACAAUGACGGUACUUGCAGAAAAAGCACCGGCUAACUACGUGCCAGCAGCCGCGGUAAUACGUAGGGUGCAAGCGUUAUUCGGAUUUAUUGGGCGUAAAGCGCAUGCAGGCGGUCAGGUUAGUCUGAUGUGAAAGCCCUCGACUCAAUCGAGGAAGUGCAUUGGAUACUGCCAGACUAGAGUGCAGGAGGGGUGAGCGGAAUUCCAGGUGUAGAGGUGAAAUUCGUAGAUAUCUGGAGGAACAACAGCGGCGAAGGCGGCUCACUGGACUGUAACUGACGCUCAGAUGCGAUAGCGUGGGGAGCAAACAGG
This 407-nucleotide ribosomal RNA is filed under the name uncultured bacterium. RNAcentral's name for it is "bacterial SSU rRNA". It matches the Rfam family "Bacterial small subunit ribosomal RNA", at positions 355 to 776 of the family's 1533-position model. The record is from RNAcentral.